UGGAACCGCCGGAGAGAUGGCGCAACUAGAGGCAGGGAGAGGCAUGUGGAAUGGCUGGUGUAGGAGUAAAAUCCGUUAAUCUCAGCCAGAACACCAAAUGCGAAGGCAGCAUGCUGGAACUGUCCUGACACUCAGGGACGAAAGCGUGGGGAGCGAAUGGGAUUAGAUACCCCAGUAGUCCACGCCGUAAACGAUGGGUACUAGCCAUUGGGAGCUCGACCCUCCCAGUGGCGCCUUAAAACAAGCAAACGCGUUAAGUACCCCGCCUGGGGAGUACGGCCGCAAGGCUAAAACUCAAAGGAAUUGACGGGAAUCCGCACAAGCGGUGGAGCGUGUGGUUCAAUUCGAUAGUAAGCGAGGAACCUCACCAAGGCUUGACAUCCUCGGAACGCACUGGAAACAGAGCGGUGCCCGCAAGGGAGCCGAGUGACAGGUGCUGCAUGGUUGUCGUCAGCUCGCGUCGUGAGACGUUCGGUUAAGUCCGUUAACGAGCGCAACCCUUAUGCUGUGUCUACUACGUGUCACAGCAAACUGCCCCGGAUAACGGGGAGGAAGGCAGGGAUGACGUCAAAUCAGCAUGGCCCUUACGCCUUGGGCUACACACGCGCUACAAUGGCCGGUACAAAGGGACGCCAAAUCGCAAGAUGGAGCAAAUCCCCCAAAACCGGUCCCAGUUCGGAUUGGGGUCUGCAAUUCGACCCCAUGAAGCCGGAAUCGCUAGUAACCGC
This 728-nucleotide ribosomal RNA is filed under the name uncultured Parcubacteria group bacterium. Its description in RNAcentral is "bacterial SSU rRNA". It matches the Rfam family "Bacterial small subunit ribosomal RNA", at positions 616 to 1345 of the family's 1533-position model. The record is from RNAcentral.